Dalotia coriaria is the source of this 475-nucleotide long non-coding RNA. RefSeq lists it as uncharacterized. Lineage: Eukaryota; Metazoa; Arthropoda; Insecta; Coleoptera; Staphylinidae. The transcript has 2 exons. The record is from RefSeq and is a predicted model, not a curated record.
AGUUCAUUCAUGUUUUAACUUUGAUACUUGAAACAUGGCUAAGAUUUUUUUGCUGGUUGUGGCUCUGGCCAUUUUUCAAUUGAAUACAUCAGUUAAUGGUCAAGUUAUUGGAGGUAUUGCCAAAGGAGUAACAAAUGUUGCGAGUAGUAUCAGCAACGUAUUUUCAUCAGCAGUAAGCAGAGUAUUCAACGCCGUUAGGAACGUAUAUGAUUACAUUCUCAAUCUUUCUCUUCCUGUCUACGCUGGUCGAUUGCUCUUGCAGGCUCUUGGAUUUCUUUUAGCGGUACCUGUAAUGGCAGUUCUUAUUCCAGUCCUUUUGCCAAUGGGCAUAUUCCUUGAACUGUUCAUGUAUGUUAUUUACAGACCAUAAAUGUCUUCAUGUCAAUGUUAAUUUACCAAAAAGAUAAAUGUAUCUUGGUUUAAUUAUAUAUUAUGAAUCUAAUAAAAAACUAUUUGUGUUGAAUUAAAGAAAAAA